AAUCUAUAUAGUAAACCUCAUCCCAAAACUAAACUUGUUUUAUCUGCAAAAAAACAUUUACAUCUUUUUAAACUCUGGCACUCAUAGUUUAUCUAAAUAAAAUUUAAGUAAAUAUACAGUGUCAGACUAAAGUGUUCGCGCAAUACAUUUUCAGUUGACUGCUGUUUAAAAAGCUUUUCCGUCGCGAUUUGCAUAAGACAAAUUAUUUUAUCCGAUAGAUGAAUCACUUUUCUAUAAGACUGGCUAAUUUUAAGAAUGGAGGGAAAAAAAAUUACAGAAUCUCGGAAGAAAAUCGUACUACAUUUUCCCAACCAACUCCAAUCGCAAGCUAAUUUUGAGAAAAUAUAAAAAGCUGUACAACUACUAUAAGUGUGAAUUCUGAAGUAAAUUCAAAAAUAUUCUGUUGAGAUUUGGGCAAGGAGUGCUAAAUGUGCAAAAUACCAAUAUUUUUAAACUAAUUUUAGACAUUUUUACUUUCAAAAAGUUUAAGAGAAUAAUGCAAUAAUCACCCAGACUCAAGUUUUCCCUUUCACAAAAGUUAUCGGAACGUUGCACAGUGGGCGAAUUGCCUGAUCUAGCGUAACGAAAUACAAAUUUUAUAUUUUUAAAAACCGCCAAAUUUUGAAUUCUUGGCGAUAUCAAAAUUUUUAUUUAGCAAAUCGAUAACAUCAAAACUUAUAAAGUCGACAUUGUUGAACAGCUGUGAGCUCCCGAGCACAACAUAUGCCAGCACAAUUUUUUUUAGAGUUAGCCGCGUUUUUUGCACGUUCUAGAUUUAUUUCAUUUAUUCACAUUUAUUUUCGAACUUUUUUUCUGAUUUUACAAGCUGAAGGUAUGUAUUAAAACUUUUAAUUUAAUUUAAAAGAAAAUAAAUUUGUUGUUCGUCCACUAUGUAAAUUGCCAAAUAUUAGCUGCAGUAGCCGCCCAUUCUGACUAUGCACUAUGACUAUUUUUAGAAAUCAUGUUGGCCUGCAGGCGCACGCUCUUUUUAGUAUAGCGUGGAGAAAAAUCCGUUUCCAGCACUGAUCUUGCUCAUAUUUUAUAUAUUUUAAAUGUUUUUGAAAAAUCAAAUAGGGAUAAGUGCAACAACGCAGCUUGGUUGAACGAACAUUUGGUUCCUCUACGUCCGGACAGAAAAUUGGGUCCAGAAUAAAAACAAAAGACAUUGCUAGUAGCCACCCAAACCGUUAACGCACAAAAGUUUGGAAAAUUAACAAUUAUCUGAUCAAAUUACUAGAGUAGGCCAUAAUCAAUAAAGAGACUUCGGGUCAUUUAGCGUUGUAUUGUCUCUGGAUAUGGAAUAAAGCGAAAGGUUUCGCGAUACGCAUUGGAAACUGCACAGAUUUGUAUACAAGAAUAUCCAUAGUUUUACACGCGAAAAAAUUCUCGGCUAAAAACGAUGUAGAAUCUGAUGAGCUCGUUAUUGGUUUCUUCAGAUCCAGUAAUAACAAUUUUAUACAAAAGGUCAGUAAAAAACUGCAGUUAACCCUUUUUAUUUGACAAGUAAGACCAAAAUCUCCUUUCGGAUUACCCGAAAAGUGUUCUCAAAAGUGUCAUGUAAGUGACAAACUAAAUUAAAUUUACACAAAAAAUUGUAUUUUAAAUAAAAACAAUUUUAUGAAUGUUUUUCCGUCAAGGGUUCACAUUCCAAAAAAAGUAUCUACUUUGUUAGAUACUAUUAUUAUUAUUAUUUAUUUGAGUAUUUUAUUUCGUAAGCAAGAAAUAAAUGUGCUUGUAACAGCACAGACUGUGCUCGUAAUAUGCGCGUAAAAGGAUAUCUGGCAAUUCAAUCAUGCUGUUACUCACAGCUCGUCAGACAUGUUCAAUACAGAAGUGUUGCAUCAAAGAUGUCUUGAUCUUCUUAAAUCGUCCCCUGACGCUUACUGUCUUCUCAGCGCCCGGUAUUGUCAACUCAUUGCGACAAGCUCCUCCCCCAACCGAAAAGUACGCAAAACACUGACGGAAGGCUAGUACAGACUGGGCUAUGUGCAAAUAAAAAAAAAAUGGAGUCCUCAAGAAACUAAGCUAAAUAGUGCACCCAAAAUAACCAAAACAUCUGGAACACUGUGCUAAAAGCGCUAACGAACAAUAGAUUUGCGAUUCUUAGUGACCCAAAAGAAGAUGAUGAUAACGCUCAAAUAUCUAAGGCCAAGCAAGUGAAGGUGAAGGUGUUCACCUAUUUAUGUGCAUCAGGCAAAUUGAUCUGAAUUGGUUACAAAAUUAAGUGAUAAAAUUGGCGAAAAAAAAAUUGUAUGUCACGUCCUAAACAGGGGUACCAUAAAUGAAACAAAAAUACAAGUCAAUGACGAACAUAUCUAUCGAUCAGUGGCCAUGAAUUACUGUACCUAACAACUUAAAAGCAGCAAAGGAUUAUAAGCUGUUAUUAAAGGAAUCGAAUAAACAGUUCCAGUCAAUGAGAUAAUAGCUGGACUUAAAGAUAAAGGCUUUGAAAUCAAAAUGAACAUAAACAUAAUAAAAUAAAAAAAAGUUCUCCAACCAAUGUUCAAGGUAGAACUGACUCUUGAUAGUAUGCCCAUAGGUAAAAAUAAAGUUCACCCAACUCCAAUAUACGUUAAGGAAUCACACAAACGCAAACGCCCAGUCAUCCGACAAAACUUGCCGUAUAUACCAUCAACUACGACCCCAGGAGUUUCUUUUGCUGAGGCGUUAAGUUAUACCAACGAGUCGUACGCCUCAGUCUCUAAGCCAAAACUUCAACAAAACACUACAGAAAUUACUGGCCAACGUGCCUUUACAAAUACAUCCCAUUUGCCUAGUGGAAUUGAAUCAAUGCUGGUAACUAUAGCAAAUACAAUGGUAGCAAUACAACAAACGAUGCAUUAACUUAUGCGCAAUCAAAAUCACCUCUUGUAGCUCGUAAUCAAACAGAAAUCUGCUUAAAUGGUUUCUCUAAAUAUAUCUUUCUAGAAUGCGAAUGGCAUUUCACAGCACAAAUGCGAGCUCUUGGAGUUCCUCGAUCAACACGACAUUGACGCUACAACUUCUAUCCGACAAACCAUCCCGAUGGCAACAUCAAUUCAUAUCGAAACUCAAAGCGGUUACUUAAGCCUAGCCGCAGUGUAGUGCCCACCGCACUUCUUCGUUUUCGAAGAAGAAUUUGUAAAAUUCUUUGACCUAUGAGGGGACCGAUUUAUAGCAGCUGGUGACUACAAUCCAAAGCACACCAAUUGGAGAUCUCGACACAGCAACCCGGAAGGAAGACACUUAUAUUAUGCUUAGUCACACCUCGAAAGAAGCUUGACUUUAUUUCUCCGGGUAGGCGUAAAUAUUGGCCCACAGCCCCAAAGAAGCAAUCCGACUUUAUUAAUUUUACUAUUACAAGAAGAGUGACGCAGGCUCAGAUUCGUUUAGAACACUGCACAGAUCUAUCAUCGGAUCACUCGCCAAUUUUACUUCACGUUUAUGACCAGCCACAGUUCUCAAAACGCCCACACUUUUUUACUUCUAGCAAAACAGAUUAGCUCAUUUACAUGAAAUAUAGAAGUUCCCAUAUUGAUGACUGUAAAGAUGACUUAGAAAGCUGAGUUGAAGCAUUAUUGGCUGUAAUGUCACUGGCUGCAAAACACUCCACUCCAAUAAUAACAGGUAUAAAAAUUCCCAACAGCAGUCGUGUUCCCAGGCAUAUUGAAGAGCUGCUGUAAGAUAAGAUUAGCCUUCUGCGAGAAUGGCAAGCCCAUAGAUUACCUACCUCGAAGGACCGGUUAAAAUAGCCAACCACUACUCAAAUAAACUAUAUGGAGCAAUCCUCUCCUAAUAGCAAACGAUUCCCACUGUGGAAAGCUAAAUCAGGCGUGUGUCCGUUUAGAAAACGGAAAAUGGAUUCCGCAAAAACAUGGAAACUCUGAGAUACGAAAUGCAUUUGAAAGACGAGAAUAUUGCUCCACUGUCUUCUUAGAUGUCGGCCAAGCUUUCGACCGCGUUUAGCUGGAUGGCUUAAUUAAAAAAAUCAGAAUAUUACUUCCACAGAACACCAAUAAAAUAUUUGAGUCAUACCUACAGCGAGGAAGUUUAACAUUCACAAGUUUCACAUUAAGAUGCACAGAUUUUCUCUCUGAAUAUCAACCAAUUGAAGUUGGUGUAAACCAGGAUAGCGUGCUCGGACCGACAUUGUAUAUUAUCUAUAAGCAGAUAUACCGACAAACAGACUUACAACAACUUCGACAUUCGCUGAUGAUACUGCCAUCCUCAGUCGCUCCAAGUGCUCUACAAGAGCAACGGAACACUUAUCAUCUCAUCUGUCUGAACACCAUCAAAAUUCCACAAACCACCGAAGUAGCAUAUGUACCUUGGUGUCCAUUUGGAUAGACGGCUCACUUGGCGUAAACACAGUGAAGCGAAGAGAAAUCUACUGAAAUUUAAAACUAAUAAUCGAUUAAACUGGAAUACAAAAGAACUUUAGUACAAUGCCGUUUUCAAACCAAUAUGGCUCCGAACUACGGGUAAACGCUUGCAUUAGUAAUCUAGAAAUAAUGCAAAGGGCUCAAUCGAUGAUACUGAGAACUUUCACUUAGGCCCAUGGUACAUACGGAAUGAAUAUAUUCAUAAAGAAAUGUAGAAUCUGAUAAAGAUGAAACAUCCAAAGUGAAAGAAAAGUAUCAGGUCAAAGUUCUGGCCUAGACUUGCGUAGUCUUCAACUUGGCAAACUAGCCAUACACGAGUCCGCCGAAGAGACCUUCCCACCCAGCAAUAAUAGUUAUACCGUAGGCCGUACACAAAAUAAUUUAUUGUAAUUAACUUAAUAAAUAUAUUGGAUUAAGAUUUUCCUACUUGUUAGUCUACAAGAGAAAAGAUUCAAUAAAUAAAACAAAGUUAAAAAAAAAAAAAACCAACAAAAUUGGAAAUGAAACACUAUCAAAAGCAGUUGCAAAAACCUUAUAUAUCUUAUGUACUAUUCACACUGACGACCAUCCAUUUCGGGCAUGCUCCGUAAUAGGCUAUUCGCACUGACGAUCAUCCACCAUCCAUUUCGAGAAUGGUCCGUAAGGUUUUGCCGUUCCGAAAUUUCCCAGUUAGUCCACCAUCCAUUUUGGAUGUUCUCAAACCGCACGUUUCUAUGCGAUAGUUAGCCGAUGAUUAUCAAAUGCCACCCUAAAAAGCAAUGAAUGGCAAUAAAAAAUAGUUCGCGAUAUUUCAAAUCGUUGAAGAUUAAAACAUGAAAAAAUACAACAGACAAAAUGGAAACACCAGAAAUUGGUGGUAAUAAGUACACAUAUGGAUAUACAUAUUGUACAUAUUUAUGAAUUUGCUUUCUUUUUUAUGAUUAGUAUUUUGCAGCCAUUAAAUAAAAAAA
This is a long non-coding RNA of Drosophila miranda, 5311 nucleotides long. RefSeq lists it as uncharacterized. The transcript is spliced from 3 exons. The record is from RefSeq and is a predicted model, not a curated record. NCBI's taxonomy places the organism in Eukaryota, Metazoa, Arthropoda, Insecta, Diptera, Drosophilidae.